RNAcentral lists this ribosomal RNA (164 nucleotides) under uncultured bacterium. Its description in RNAcentral is "partial 16S ribosomal RNA". It matches the Rfam family "Bacterial small subunit ribosomal RNA", at positions 393 to 539 of the family's 1533-position model. The record is from RNAcentral.
AACGCCGCGUGAGUGAUGAAGGUUUUCGGAUCGUAAAGCUCUGUCGGUAGGGAAGAACACCUUGUGAGGUAAUAUCUCACAAGGCUGACGGUACCUACAAAGGAAGCACCGGCUAACUCCGUGCCAGCAAACUUCGGUGACUGAGCGGGCUGGCAAGGCGCAUA